CGCUGGGUUUGGGGGUGGUGUGUAGUAUGGCAGCGAAGGAUAGGGAGGCGCGUCCCUAGCUAGGAGUGCUGGGAGUUAUGGUGUCUUAACGGUUUGCAGCCCAUUGGUCGCCGACCUGAGAACUACAAUCCCAGCAUGCGCUGUCUGUCCUCCCCCGUGGUGCGCAGCCCUGGAGGAAGGGACAGGGCGGUGUGGGCCUCCGCCUUUCCUAAGCGGUGCCACCCCCUCGCCAAGGGAGUCCGGAGAAGGACUUGAGGGGCAGGUCUGGCUGGGCGAUGAGGACGGUGUGACGCUGCGAAGUGCACCUCCCUUGCUCAAAUCGGAGGGGUCUGGUCCUCACUGAACAGCCCGCUGAACAUCUCGGUGUCCUCUCACAUACACACCCGCGGGGGGUUUCCAGAGCAUCGCACCUCUUCCAGCCCAGGGAGCCGCCUGCUGUGCUAAACUCUAUGGGAACUGAGACAUCCAUCUGCUGCGUGGCCCACCCGUGCGCAACUUCAGAGCUUUCAAGGGGUGAUGCAGGCUGUGGCUCCUUCGCGAAAAUGUCACCCUCUACAGCCCCUUUCCUGUGAUAUAGAAGUUGACGCGUGAGAGAGAGUAUUUAUUGGGUUACCCAGGAUCUGCUAACAGCAGAGGAGAAAACCACAAUUUCCAGGCAUAAUAAUCUACCUAAAGAUGAUGGUUUAGAUGUUUUACAGUUGAAAUCACCAGCCUCACCUCAACUGAGUCCUGACUGACGAGUGUCUCAAAAACACAGUUGGUGACCUGAUCCCUCAGGAACAGGUGGUGCUGCAGCUUUGAGGGGAUGCCUUUCAAGGUGCAGAGCACUUGGGCAGCAUUGGAAGUCGUUCAUGUUUUACAUCUCUGCUUUGGAUGGAAAGUUGAUCACCCACAGCCGUUGGGGAUGUACCUUAAUAUGCUGGGGCUUAUCCGUUAAAUUUUUCUGUCUAGACAAUGAAAACCCAGAAGUUCCACUUGCAGGUUCCUGUGAAUGAAGUUGCAAAUAUUGAUGAAGAUAAUACUACUGCCUUGCUGUCAAACACUAACAGUCGCCUUUUUUUGUAUCUCCAAUUAUAAAUGCAAUACAUACUGUAAAAAGAAAAGAACACAUCAUAAAUAUCUUUAUAAAGCAAAAGUCUUGGCUGGUGGCCAGGAGCAGUGACUCAUGCCUAUAAUCUCAGCACUUUGUGAGGCCGAGGUGGGUGGAUCAUGAGGUCAGGAAUUUGAGACCAGCCUAGCUGACAUGGUGGAACCCCGUCUCUACUAAAAAAUACAAAAAUUAGCUGGUCUCGGUGGCGGGUGCCUGUAAUCCCAACUACCCACGAGGCUGAGGCAGGAGAAUCACUUGAACCCAGGAGGCGAAUGGUGCAGUGAGCCAGGAUCAUGCCACUGCACUCUAGCCUGGGCAACAGAGUAAGACUCCAUCUCAAAAACAAAACAAAACAAAAAACUUGGUUGGCAUAGUGGCUCAAUCCCAGCACUUUGGGAGCCCAAGGCAGGUGAAAUGUUUGAACCCAGAAGCUCAACUCUAGUGUGGGCGACAUGGUAAAACCCUCUCUCUACAAAAAUACAAAAAGUAACCAGUUGUGGUGAUGUACACCUGUAUUCCCAGCUACUAGGGAGGCUGAGGUGGGAGGAUUGUUUGAGCCUGGGAGGCCAAGUUUGCAGUGAGCUGUAAUCACACCACUGUGCUUCCAUGUGGGCAACAAAGUGAGACCCUGACCCAAAAAAUAAAAA
Molecule: long non-coding RNA, 1737 nt
Organism: Pan troglodytes (chimpanzee)
Lineage: Eukaryota; Metazoa; Chordata; Mammalia; Primates; Hominidae
Exons: 2
Source: RefSeq, a predicted model, not a curated record